RNAcentral lists this ribosomal RNA (253 nucleotides) under uncultured bacterium. RNAcentral's name for it is "partial 16S ribosomal RNA". It matches the Rfam family "Bacterial small subunit ribosomal RNA", at positions 524 to 776 of the family's 1533-position model. The record is from RNAcentral.
UACGUAGGGUGCGAGCGUUGUCCGGAAUUAUUGGGCGUAAAGAGCUCGUAGGCGGUCUGUCGCGUCUGCUGUGAAAACUCGGGGCUUAACCCCGGGCCUGCAGUGGGUACGGGCAGACUAGAGUGCGGUAGGGGAGACUGGAAUUCCUGGUGUAGCGGUGAAAUGCGCAGAUAUCAGGAGGAACACCCGUGGCGAAGGCGGCCACCUGGGCCUAACCUGACGCUGAGGCGCGAAGGCUAGGGGAGCGAACGGG